AUUCAUUUUUUGGUGAAAUCAAAAAAAGUUUAAUUUUAGACCCUUUGGGCCCCUAAUUCCUAAACUGUUGGGACCAAAACUCCCAAAAUCAAUCCCAACCUUCCUUUUGUGUUCAUAAACCUUGUGUUAAAAUUUCAUAGAUUUCUAUUUACUUAUACUAAAGUUAUUGUGCGAAAACCAAGAAAAAUGCUUAUUUGGGCCCUUUUUUGCCCCUAAUUCCUAAACUGUUGGGACCAAAACUCCCAAAAUCAAUCCCAACCUUCCUUUUGUGUUCAUAAACCUUGUGUUAAAAUUUCAUAGAUUUCUAUUUACU
Molecule: long non-coding RNA, 313 nt
Filed under: Mytilus galloprovincialis (Mediterranean mussel)
Lineage: Eukaryota; Metazoa; Mollusca; Bivalvia; Mytilida; Mytilidae
Source: RNAcentral